RNAcentral lists this ribosomal RNA (671 nucleotides) under Burkholderia sp. R44. RNAcentral's name for it is "bacterial SSU rRNA". It matches the Rfam family "Bacterial small subunit ribosomal RNA", at positions 67 to 733 of the family's 1533-position model. The record is from RNAcentral. Lineage: Bacteria; Pseudomonadati; Pseudomonadota; Betaproteobacteria; Burkholderiales; Burkholderiaceae.
CGGCAGCACGGGAGCAAUCCUGGUGGCGAGUGGCGAACGGGUGAGUAAUACAUCGGAACGUGUCCUGUAGUGGGGGAUAGCCCGGCGAAAGCCGGAUUAAUACCGCAUACGCUCUACGGAGGAAAGGGGGGGAUCUUAGGACCUCUCGCUACAGGGGCGGCCGAUGGCAGAUUAGCUAGUUGGUGGGGUAAAGGCCUACCAAGGCGACGAUCUGUAGCUGGUCUGAGAGGACGACCAGCCACACUGGGACUGAGACACGGCCCAGACUCCUACGGGAGGCAGCAGUGGGGAAUUUUGGACAAUGGGCGCAAGCCUGAUCCAGCAAUGCCGCGUGUGUGAAGAAGGCCUUCGGGUUGUAAAGCACUUUUGUCCGGAAAGAAAACGCCGUGGUUAAUACCCGUGGCGGAUGACGGUACCGGAAGAAUAAGCACCGGCUAACUACGUGCCAGCAGCCGCGGUAAUACGUAGGGUGCAAGCGUUAAUCGGAAUUACUGGGCGUAAAGCGUGCGCAGGCGGUCCGCUAAGACAGAUGUGAAAUCCCCGGGCUUAACCUGGGAACUGCAUUUGUGACUGGCGGGCUAGAGUAUGGCAGAGGGGGGUAGAAUUCCACGUGUAGCAGUGAAAUGCGUAGAGAUGUGGAGGAAUACCGAUGGCGAAGGCAGCCCCCCUGG